CGUGUAGGCGGUUUAAUAAGUCAGAUGUAAAAGCCCCGGCUCAACCGGGAUGGUCAUUUGAAACUGUUAGGCUUGAGUGCGAGAGAGGGUAGUGGAAUUCCCAGUGUAGCGGUGAAAUGCGUAGAUAUUGGGAAGAACACCAGUAGCGAAGGCGGCUACCUGGCUCGCAACUGACGCUAAGGCGCGAAAGCGUGGGGAGCAAACA
Molecule: ribosomal RNA, 205 nt
Filed under: uncultured bacterium
Lineage: Bacteria
Description: partial 16S ribosomal RNA
Rfam family: Bacterial small subunit ribosomal RNA
Source: RNAcentral